This 5045-nucleotide long non-coding RNA is filed under the name Sus scrofa (pig). RNAcentral's name for it is "lncRNA (ENSSSCG00060029152.1)". Lineage: Eukaryota; Metazoa; Chordata; Mammalia; Artiodactyla; Suidae. The record is from RNAcentral.
CGGCACAUGGAAGUUCCUGGGCUAGGGAUCGAAUUGGAGAUAUAGCUGCCAGCCUAUACCACAGCCGCAGCAAUGCGGGAUCCAAGCUGCCUAUGUGACCUACACCACAAGCCUGCAGUAAUGCUGGAUCUUUAACCCACUAAGUGAGACCAGGGAUCGAACCUGCAUCCUCACAAACCAGCUUAGCCACAACAGGAACUUGAUAUAUCUUCUUUUUUAGAAUUAUUGGAAUUGGAUAGUGUUUUAUUUACUUGUCUGCUUUUUUACUCAUUUGGUCAGAAAUUAUUUAUUGAACUCUUAUGUGCCAGGCUUUGUUCUAGGUGCUGGGGAGACAGCAGUGAAGACGGCCGACCAGGUCCUGCCCUCAUGGAGGCUUCCUUCUAGACAAUAAAUGGGUCGUAAACUGUUCUUCACAUACCUUGUCCUCCCUGGGUGUCUGGCCAACAGCCUAAACAAGGAAGACUACAUAGCCUUUAGUUACGUGACUCGUGUUGGGAUUGGCUGUGGAUGACAUAGCGGGAGAGAGAAGGAUAUGCAGACCCCAGAAGUUCGAGGUUAAUCUCCUCUACAUCAUUCAGUGUCAUCCCUUCGUGCUCUCAUGCUCAUUCUGCUGGACAGCUUCUCUCAAUCCCCACCGCCUCCCACAAACGCCUUGAGUUAUCCAUCUUCACUGCAGUUUACUCCACUGCAGAAGGCUUUUCUCAUUGGGAUGUAAAUGGGCCCCAAGACCUAUGCAACUGAGGUGUGGGAGGUGAGCCUCCAGUGGCCACUGGACCCUCUGCCACAUCCUCCCAGACCCCACCCUUGUGCUCAUCAGAAAGCAGACCUCGCCUGGGCUGCAACCUCCCUCUUAUUCUUUGUCUGUUUCUCCACACGAUCCUGAUGAUUUAUACCAGUUCCCACGGCUUCACUAACUUCCCACAUUAUAUUUCUUCUUGCAAAACUUGAUAACUUUCCCUUCUCCGGUGCCAUAAAUUUACCUUCUGGUAAAUACUACUGCACUCAAGAUAGAUAAUGUAAUUUUCGAUAGUGAUAAGUGAGAUGGAGAAAAUAGAGCAAAGACGAAAACACAGCUGACUGGGUUUGGUGGAUGCUCCAACAUGUGCUCAAUAAGAAUUUGUGAAUUAAUAACUUAACAAAAGCAUGAGUUUGCUAAGAAUAAAUUGAGGAGCCUGCAACUUUUCUCCUCCUUCCCACAUCAAGCUCCCCCAUCCCUCCAACUUUCUUCCCCUGGAGGCUGGAAUAAAUUAACUGGGUGACUCUUCCUCCAGAUAUGGUCCAGGUUAAGAUCCAGUGUAUUAGGGUACCAACUAAGCUGUUGUCAUAAAGAAGCCCCCAACUUUAGCCAACUCAAUAAAAUAACAGUUUACUUUUUUCUUACCUAAAAAUCGAAGAUGAGUGAGUGGUCUAAGAUGACAGGGCAGCCCUGUUCCACAGCCAUGCAGGGACUGGGGUUCCUUCCAUUUUCCUGCCACAGCAUUCUCCUAGUAUGUCACCUUCACCUCCAAGGUCAUGGCUGGAUCAUUACCUUGCCCAUGCUUUGGUCCAUAGAAGUAGGAAAUCAGCUCUUUCUUUUUAAAGAAAUGACACGUUAUACAUUCUGUUGAUGAGCACUUAAUCAGAUGACUACAACUGGGAGCAAGGGAGUCUGGGAAAUGUUGUCUAUAGCUGGGUGACCAAGUGCCCAGAUUAAAGUUAGGGAUGUGCUAUUUUUCAUAGAAAAAAAAAGGGGGUCAAGUUGACACUGGGGAACACAUCCAUACCUUUCUGAGGACCGAACCCUGGCAAAGCAACCUUGAUGCCAACUGUUCCUUGUCUCUUAAAUGACUGGUUUCUCCUUCUUCAUCUACCAAACAUCUGCUCUUCCUAUAAUGCCUAGUUCAAAUGAUCCCAUCACCAUUCAGCUUUUCAGAGCCUUUUGUGCCGAAGGCUAUAGAGGGAGUGCUGAACUCCUGCCCUUUGAAGAGUUCACUACGCGAUCCUACAGCUUAACCACUGGCACAGUGCCUGGCACUUGCUACUCAGUAAAUGACUAAAUGAAUAAAUGGCACUUCCUCAACACAUGCUGACCACCGUCAUCACUGCAACUGCUGUGACUUUUAUUCUUUUCCCAAGGUUUUCCUGGGAAUAGGCCACAUGGCAUAUCCCGGAACAAUCACAGGCUUGGGGCCAGGAAACCUGUGUUUGAAUCCUGAACCCACCACUUGCUCAAUGUGUGACCAUAAGAGUGUGGAUUACUCUCUCUCAGACUCAGCUUCCUCAUCUGUUAAAUGAGGAUAACAGUGGUGCUACCUUAAAGGUUUAUUAUCUUUACUAAAUUAUAUGAUCCAUAUAAAGUGUUUAAUGCAAUGCCUGCAAAGAGCAUUUCAGUAAAUAGUGCGUUUCAUUAUUUUGUUAUCAUCCUCAUCGGGGAAAGAUCAUCAUGUGAAUCGAUCAGGCAUUAAUUUAGCUGCGUAAUGACAGAACCUCGUAACAAAGACACCGAAAGAUAAGAGUUUAUUUGGCUCCCAAAUCAAGGAGCCCAGCGGUGGGGAGUGGGGUGAAGGUUGGGGGACACCUCAUGCAUGACCCAGGCUCCUCCUCGCUCAUCCUCAGCAACACUAGGGGGGUGACUUUCCUCUUUGUAUAUGUCCUUCCUGGCCACCAAAAGAGAACUGUACCGCUAAAGACAUGUGCAUAUUCCAAACCAGAAGUAAGAAAAAGAGUCUUGAGCCAGGCAAGCAUAUUUUUACUUAGGAAACCUAAAGCUUUCCUUGAUGCCUUAUCCUUCAGACCUCCCUGGGGUUUUGGUGAUCAGAACCCCAAAAAUGUAUUUUGUGGUCAUGCUGCAUGACCUGAGGUGUUGGUAGCUGGGAAGAGAGGGCAGCAGAUGGGGUUGGUUCCACCCCCGACAGUGACUAUGGUAACAGGUUGAAUGGUGUUCCCCACAGAUAUACAUGCAAUCCUUUUUGAUACCUGUGAAUGUGACCUUACUUAAAAAUAAGAGUUUUGCAGAUAGAGACAUUCAGGGAAAAGACACUGUGUGACAAUGAAGGCAGAGAUUGCAGUGAUGCAGCCACAAGCCAAGGAAAGCCAAGAGUCAGCAGAAACUGGAAAAAGCAAGGAAGGGUCAAGGAGACUGAAAGGAGCAUGGCCCUACCACCACCUUGAUCUCCAACUUCUAGCCUCCAGAACUGCGAUGGAAUAAAUGACUGUUGUUUUAAGCCACCCAGGUUGUGGUAUUUGUCACAGAAGCCCUGGGAAACCACUACAGGGAUGCUGUCACUCGGGGUAAAUAAAUGAAUGCAUCGUAAUAUGCCAAGGGCUAAAAUUAAGGGUUGGGUUAAGAAGACUCACUGUUUAUUCAUUCUUUAAGCAGACUCAAGAUGGAGUUCCCUUGUGGUACAGUGGCUUAGGAUCUGGGGUUGUCACUGCAGCAGCUCAGGUCUGAUACUGCGGCAAGGGCUCAGUCCCUGGCCCGGGAACUUCCACAUGCUGUGGGUAUGGCCAAAAAAAUUUUUAAAAAAUUAAUUAAAACACUUUAAGUAGACGCAAUUCAUUCAUUCAUUCCAGCCUGACCUGGGUAGCUUACCAAAGCUAAUGUCACAGCCCUCUGACUGUCAAAGGUAGGUCAGAGGGGCUGCAGCAGACUCUGUGAACCACACUCAUUUUCUUGAUAACUUUGCUUCUGGAGGUCUCCAGGGCUCUUUGCUCAAGAGAAGGUUUACUCAGCCACAUGUCAAGUGGUUGACUGCACACUGCUUAAGCUAACAUUGAGAGAGGACUCAGCCCCAACUGGCCUCUGUGCUCAGACCCGGCUGUACCCCUGGGGAAGGGGCUGGUGAUGGGUAACUGUAACCUGCAGCCAAAAGGACCCAGGACCCUGUAGGUGCAGGAACCAUUUGUGAGGAUCUGCUGAGACAACAGGCUUGGCAAACAUGUGCUAAGAGCAGACACAGGGAGAGUCAACCCAUGGGACAGGCUGGGACAAAAGGUAAAUUUUUAUGCAAGUAGAUGGACUUGAAUACAAUUAUUAUGGUUCAUCAGAAUGUCUCCCCUGCUCCGCAAAAUCUCUUUAAUGGUAAACAGUGCUUCUCCCCCAAAGUGGAUCCUUCCUCUUAUAUGUUUUUAGAAUUUAUCAAGCAAGUAUUAUGCAUCUUGCCCCAUGCAAGAUUAUACUUCUGCCUCACUACAAAAGAAAAAAGUGGGAGGGAUUUUAUAGACAGAGGAACCUAGGAAAUUGCCCAAAUCCACACACUCAGCAAAAGGCAAAGCUUGGACUCACACCUAGAUCCAUCUGAUUCUGAUUCAUGCCCAUGACUACUGAAACAAUUAUGCCAACACAAAAACUGUGCUUAAUGAGCUCGGGAAAUCCGUAUCCUUAUUCAACCUUGUAGAAUUCAAAUAAGGUAGUUCCACCAUAUUUCACAAAAACAUAUAUAUUGAUCUUCUCACAUUUAAGCUUGUUUCCCAUAAUCUUUUUCUAAAAUAUCAUACAUCUUCUGGACUGUGUGGUCCAAAGACCAACACAUGAACAAACAGAAGUAUAUGUUUCUAGAAAUCAAAAAAACCUGACUGCGAUAUCUUUACAAUUCUUUCUAGAUUAUUUUUAUUGAUGUAUAGCUGAUUCACAAUAUUGUGUUAGUUUCAGGUGUCAGGAUUCUUUAUAAAUUAUUUUUUAUGUUUAAAGACCAACAUAAACAUAAGAGAGUCAGAUUUUAAUCUGAUUAUAUUAUCAGCGAUAUCACCUCCCAUUUGAUUUCUAGAAGAAAAUACAUCUGUGCAUCACAGCUUUCCACACCCAAGGUAAAUGUUUCUGAGUACUCCACCGCUGAAUCAACUGGAGAGUUUAGAGAAUUCUGAGUUCAAAAGCCAGCUUGCCUGUGACAAGUGAAAAAUUGAUUGAGACUUGGGGUGGCAGAGAUUUUACUCAAAAAGACGAUUGCAAUAGGAAGGAUGCUUUGACUUUGGUAUCUUCAAGCAUAUCAAAAUCCAGAAGGAAAAUACUUUUCUUUUGUGGUGGGUGUGCAGUGUGAUGGGCAGGGAGGGACUUUGGGGAAGGCAGG